CAUGUGUAGCAUUUCACUUUGAAACACUGCACAUAUAGAAUCAAGGUGUUUUGAAGGUUAAAACCCAUUUAAAGACCUUUCGAUGUUGCUUUAAUGACCAGCACUGUGUGAUGCUCACAAUAAUCAGAUUUUGUCACUGUUUUACCAUUUAAAGGGUUACUCAAAGAACCAGGACCACUUUACUAAUUUAGUACAAAGCAGCUGCCCUCACUCCAACUUCACAUUUAAAAAGGGUACAAAUGGGACUUCAUGAAACCAUUAGCACAUUCAGAUCAAAAUAACUUUUUUGAUGUUUACAUGGCAUUUUCAAUAAGGAAGUUUUCAACAUUUCCUGUGCCGGAUGUGCUAACACCCAGUUUCAGUGACAGUUUUUUUUUAACAUGACAAACAGACUCUUCUUUUGCAGAGAGAGUGUUCAUUUUCUAUUAUUGGGAAAGGAAAUUACCUGUGCCAUUCACUGGCCUUAAUCCAAACUUGCCCCAACAGAUUAUUAUUCUGACCAGCUCAGUCUUACAUUUAUCACGAGACAAUUGCAAUUACUUACUAAAGGUCACAGGGUCUUAGUAAUUAUAAUAGUUAGCUCCACCUAUCAUAGCCCAGCCAGGAGGAUAAUAAUCACAUUUAUAAAUAUUCUCUAUGGAUCACUGAUUCUGAGACUCCCCAAAAACACUAUUUUUCAAGAUUACUUUUAAAUAACAGAGCAGAUACAUGGAAUAUGUAGAGAUUAUGCAGUAAACAGUGAAAUGAAAACUAAUAUUGAGAACAAAAAGUUGGAUAAAAAAAAAAAUCAAAUUCAGCAGUUUCCCACAGCUAUUUUAGUCUGUUUUUGCAAUUCUGCACUGAGUUUU
Molecule: non-coding RNA, 848 nt
Organism: Pelobates cultripes (western spadefoot toad)
Lineage: Eukaryota; Metazoa; Chordata; Amphibia; Anura; Pelobatidae
Source: the annotation of a GenBank genome assembly